UGUGCUCCCGGCCGCCGGACAACUCCCGAACCCCAGCAACGCCAGGAGGCAAAACAGGCAGCAUUCCACGAGAAACGGGCCCGUGCCCUCCAUCUCCCAGCGUUCUGUCAUUUUCUAAUGUUAAGGGCAUUGUGACAUCCUUGUGGUCCUGUGGUCCUUGCAUCUUUUAAUUAUCCGAGUAAUUGCUAGGAAGCAGCAGAGGAGUGAAGCAACACAGAGCUAGCAGCAGCAGCAGCAUCACCGACAAGCCCACACUUUGGUCCCGGAAUCCAUGGAAGCCAAGGCCAAGUCUGCUCCUGCUCCCAAAGGGCCAUCAAAAGCAGAGAAAAGGGAGCCAGCAGCCCCACGUAAAGUUGAACCUGCCCCAGCAACGCCGGAACCAGAGAUACCUCCUCCCCAGGAUGGGGCGGCAGAAGGUGAUCCAGGUGAUGGGGCUGCGGGCAGCUGCACAGACUCUCUGGAGCAUCUGAAACCUUUCCUCAUUGGUGGUGCUGUGAUUGCAGUUGGAGCCAUUUUGAUUGGGGCGAUGUUGCUAGCAAAGAGAAAUUAAAAUCCUAAUCUCGAAAAAUUAACUCUAUGUAAAAUUGGUUCACAAAUAAUCAUGGUAGAUUUUGAAGAUGGGGAGUUGCUCUUUUUUUUUGGCUAGCAAACAUAUAUGUAUAAAAUAUUACUAAGCAAUGAAGCAGCUAAUUUUUUUUUAUUGCAAACAUUUUAUGCAUGAAAUUUUAAUUUACAAUCUGUUAAAACUACACCAUAGUGCUGAACAUACGAGACGAUUAUUUUCUGGUUGCUUAUAUCUGCUUUUUAUUAUUUCCUCAAAUGUUGACAAAAACACACAGUAUUUGCGUCGUAUGUUCAAUUUCGAAAGAGCUCCAGAAAAUUGUACUCCUGGUGUGGAAAAUGCAGAUUCUAGAAUUCACUUUUCUUUUCUUUGAAAGAGCAGAGUUGUAAAAAUGUUACAUUAUAUGACAAAAGACUAAGGGAUUCAGAAUGCUGAGGUUUAUGAACGUCUUGUGGGAGAAUAUGACGUAUAUGGCAGACUAGUGUUGCAAUGUUAUUUCUUGAAGUAGAUUGUAGAAUAAGAAGAAUUUUUAUGUUAGAAUCAAAUGAUGUGACAAAUCAAUAGCCUUUCAUGUACAACACAACAUCUGAAAAUGUUCUGCAUCUAUAUGUUCACCUCUUAUCGUAAAUACUUUAUUGCGGACCAGUCAUUAAUGGUCCCGUAUCGAGUUCAGAGCCUGCAGUUGAAUCAGGCUUCAUUUCACUGUGCGUAUUCCAUCAAGAACAACUAUCCAGAACAACCUUUGUGUUUUCAGUACCUUAUUAAUAUCUAAGUAUAGCCGGGCACAAUUAGAGUGCUAAUGUAAAGGAAGUGGAUUAGUCAAGCAGUCGUCAUUUCUAUGUCUGCACACAUUUGCGCCCUUGCAUGUGUUCCCAGCAUUGUCUAUUCACACAGUAAUGUCCCAGUUGAAAAACUACACACCACUUUUCUCUGGUUGCAAGUGAACAUUUUUGCAACAUAGUCAUCACAAAUGUUGUAUGUGUGUACAUUGUUGCAUUCUACACCCCUAAUGCAUCCAAACAAUACAAUGCCAAAACUAGAACUAACUUCAUCUGACCUUGUACAAAUAAGUGUACCAAAAAAAACCAUCUUCUUUUAAUAACUUAAUAACAGCAGCGUAUAAAUGCAAUAAUUCAGGUAGGAUUCCUCAGUUAGCACAUUAUGUUGUGCUGUAGCAAGUUAUUUCACAUAGAUGAUGCGAUGUAAUAACACUAGUGAUGGUCAAGUAUGAUGUUUCAUAAAAUGGCAAUGAUGUUAGAGGUGAUAGAAAGUACAGUAUGUAUUUAUGGUGACUGUAAUGAUGGUUAUAUUUUUGAUAUAUUACUACUCUCUCCUCCAGUGUACACAAAGAAUGUGGUUGUGAUGCAACCUUUAUUAAAGGAAGUGAACCAA
Syngnathus acus (greater pipefish) is the source of this 1954-nucleotide long non-coding RNA. RefSeq lists it as uncharacterized. The transcript has 3 exons. NCBI's taxonomy places the organism in Eukaryota, Metazoa, Chordata, Actinopteri, Syngnathiformes, Syngnathidae. The record is from RefSeq and is a predicted model, not a curated record.